Oreochromis aureus is the source of this 1331-nucleotide RNA transcript. It is a transcript of the gene named SLAM family member 5-like, with no coding region annotated. Lineage: Eukaryota; Metazoa; Chordata; Actinopteri; Cichliformes; Cichlidae. The transcript is spliced from 7 exons. The record is from RefSeq and is a predicted model, not a curated record.
AGAACUUUGAAAGCUUUACCAGAAUUUUGAAGGCACAUAUCAAGAUGCGUUGCAUUUUAUUUUGGGGAGCAAUUUUAUGGAUGUAUUCAUCUGAAACAAAAGCUGGUUAUUCAGUGCCGCUCCAGCCAUCCAGAGAAUCCCCAGCCGCCCUGCCCCUCUCGUUCCUGUGCAGCAAGCAACAAGCAGCAGUAUCCAAUACGAUACCGAUACUUUUCAAUAAAUAAGGGCUCCAACAUGUGUUUGUACUGCAUGGAAAGGACUUACACUUGGAUGUAGAGAAACCUGUUGUACUUGACAAAAAGAGUGACUUUUUCUGGAGGUUUAAUACCACUAGUUAUGUUGGUAAAAUUAGUUAUAAUAAAGAGGCAGUAUUGUUUGACAGCUAUGAAGGAAGAGCUGAUGCUUUUGGACAUAAUUACUCUUUGGUAUUGAAAAAUGUAAAACACGAUGACAGUGGAGAUUAUACUGCAGUAGUGACUGGGGGAAAAGAGCAAAGGCCAGCUGAAUACAAGGUCAUAGUCCAAGAUCCAGUGUCUGCAGUUAAUCUGACAUUGACCUCCAGCAGCUCAGACUCCUGUAACCUGACUGUAACCUGCACUAUAGUGGAGCUGAACAUCAGCCGGACUUUUAGAUGUGAUGCUCACAACUGCUCUCUGUUGGAAGAAAAUCUCAGCACCACAGACAUGUUUUCCUCUCUGAUUGUUUACUUGCAGCAAGACACCGUCUUUUGUAAUCACAGCAAUGACGUAAGCUGGAAAAAUAGCACAAUGGUGCUAAAAUCUCAAUGUGACAUGAAGUCAGGCCACAUAGAUGCCAACAAUACCAUCGUGACUGUGUGUGUUGUUGUUGCCAUCAUCAUAAUCCUUGUUGUAGGUUAUAUUCAUCAUCGAACAAAACAAAAAAAUACCAGAGAAACCAUUGAAAACACAGUGUAUGCAGUUCCUGAGGUUAUCCAAACAACACCACCCGUGGAACAGAGUCCAAUCAGUGAUGCUUCUCCAACAUCCACCUAUAGCUUUGUGAGACCUCACUCUGGACCCAACGGAUCCACUGAGGCCAGAAGCAAAGCUUUGCCUGAGAGCUUGUAUGCCCAGGUAGAAUACAAUCCCAGAUCCUAAAACCUCUUCAGAAAUUCUAAUUCAAAGUUUAAAAAGUAACUGCCUACCAAAGGCAAUACAAUUGUCAAAGUCCUCUUGGAGAAAAAAAAAGGGAAGAAGAGAAAGUAUAUCACACAUGUAGAGAAAGAUUUUAUGUUGAGGACUAACUGAGGCUUCUGUAAGGUGUGCUUUUGAUGGACUCAUGAACUUUCCUACAGUGUUCUGGUUUCUAUA